RNAcentral lists this transfer RNA (75 nucleotides) under Candidatus Omnitrophota bacterium. Its description in RNAcentral is "tRNA-Arg". It matches the Rfam family "tRNA". Rfam says of the family: Transfer RNA (tRNA) molecules are approximately 80 nucleotides in length. Their secondary structure includes four short double-helical elements and three loops (D, anti-codon, and T loops). Lineage: Bacteria; Pseudomonadati; Candidatus Omnitrophota. The record is from RNAcentral.
GCGCCUGUGGCUCAACUUGGAUAGAGCGGCUGGCUACGGACCAGCAGGUUGGGGGUUCGAGUCCCUCCAGGCGCG